AUUGAACGCUGGCGGCGUGCCUAAUACAUGCAAGUAGAACGCCGUUCCGAACGGGUGAGUAACGCGUAGGUAACUGCCCCAUAGCGGGGGAUAACCUUUGGAAACGAUAGCCAAUACCGCAUACUGUGAGCUGGAUCUGCGUUGUGUUAGCUAGUUGGUGAGGUAAAGGCUCACCAAGGCGAAGAUACAUAGCCGACCUGAGAGGGAGGUCGACCACACUGGGGCGGGGGCACGGCCCAAACUCCUUCGGGAGGCAGCCAGUGGGAAUCUGCGGCAAUGGACCGAAAGCUGACCGAACAACGGCGGGUGAUAGGAGAAAGUUUUCAGAUCUGAAAACUAUUUUGUGCGGGAAGCGUUAACUAACGAAAAAGGGACGGCUAACUACGUGCCAGCAGCCGCGGUAAUAC
RNAcentral lists this ribosomal RNA (407 nucleotides) under uncultured bacterium. RNAcentral's name for it is "partial 16S ribosomal RNA". It matches the Rfam family "Bacterial small subunit ribosomal RNA", at positions 30 to 526 of the family's 1533-position model. The record is from RNAcentral.